GCAUCGGUAGCUCAGGCACUAGAGCGUCGGCCUUGUAAGCCGAAUGACGGGGGCUUGGAACCCCCUCGAUGCC
Molecule: transfer RNA, 73 nt
Filed under: Bothus myriaster (Indo-Pacific oval flounder)
Lineage: Eukaryota; Metazoa; Chordata; Actinopteri; Pleuronectiformes; Bothidae
Description: tRNA-Thr
Rfam family: tRNA
About the family: Transfer RNA (tRNA) molecules are approximately 80 nucleotides in length. Their secondary structure includes four short double-helical elements and three loops (D, anti-codon, and T loops).
Source: RNAcentral